GUUUAGAACUAAAAAAAAAAUGACUAGGAGGGUCUUCUGUGGAAGCUGCUUCUGGAGGAGUUGGGGAGCCUGAGGACUGAGGCAGAAAGUAGAAUCUAAUACCAGUCUCCUCACCUAUAUUAUGUAAGGGUUAAAAUUAAAGGAGUGGACUAAAUAUAUAAGAGUGUGGUUACAAAAUCAAUAUAUCUCAAGUCAGAAUGACUUUUUUAUGGUAGUUUGUUUACAAAAGGAGAAAGAGUGAAAGUAAGGAAAUGAGAGAGAGUAGAUAUUUACUCUGGCCCAGCCUAAACCUGGCAAGGCUUCAGAGACCCCAGCAAAGGGGGCCCACAGGUUAAUUUAAACAAAGUUUCUAACCACAAUACCUCCUCUAUGACGAGGGGCUUCUCCGAAGGCUGGUACCUCCAGAAAAGCCAGGAAAGGGAGACAGCCUUUUUCACUCAUCCAUGUAGUAGUUCUAAAGGAAAAAUCAAAGAGCAGUCUGAGGUCCCCAAGCUGGUGCUUCUUCAAGGUCAAGUUCCAAGGAGAAAGAGCUGGUCACAGGAAGUUCUUGCCACUUUUAAAGACCCUUCCUUUCAUCACUUCCUGUGCCUUGCUUCCACUUUAUGUGGACCAAUUGCAGCUAUAGCUUUGCUUAGGAAUGCCCAGGGUCAGUCAGUGGAUUUUGAUUUUUCACCCACUAUAGCACACCAUGGGUCACAUACCUUCCCUUAUUUAAGGAUAAGUGGGGUGUAUAUGCUUCCGAUGAUUAAAUCUAAAAGUGGACAGGGGAGAGUUAAUCCCAUCUUCACAAUUAUCAGAUACUAUUGUGGAAAGGAAACAAGACUGACAGUUUGUGGGGGAAGGGGCAACUGGGAGUGGCAGUUGGGUCUUGUGACUAGCACUUCCUUCCUGCUGGGUUUGACUUCCUUCCUGGUGUUGGAGGAGGGAGGAGCUUGUUCAGCCCAGUCUGGUGUGGUGUGCCUCUUCUUGCUUCAGCCUGAAGAUUCAGCCCAAUCACUUCUGAAGUCAUUGCCAUCACAGAUAUAUGAUGAGGAUUCCAAGGUCCAGUUAGAGCCAAGUCUGGAAGAAGAAGCUAUUCUUCCCUAGCCUUGCAAAUGUACCUUCCCCACCAGGAGCCUUCAGAAGCCUUGAGCAUGAUGGGGCCAGUGACUGUGUAGUCUCAUUCAAAAAGCUCGCCUGCUUCCUCCCUUCCUGGGCAACAUAGGACUCCACAAGGAGACUGGUCCUGGUGGACAGAAGUGCCCUCAGGGCACAUCGGGGCCAGGAAGUGGUGAUACACCUUUCCAAGCACAGGUAUUGCAUGUCUCAUCAUUGUCCUCUAAAUGAAUCUAGGAUUCCUGAUCCACUUGCUCUUGUAAUGGGGUGAAAUUCUGCUGUAAUCUCACCAUUCUUUUUUUUUUCCCCACAUGUGUUGACAACAGAGUCGUCAAUAGGCCAGUCUAUAAUGGGAAUAAUUACCAAAUAAGAACUAUCCCACCAACCUCAGAGGGUUAGAAUGAACUAGUUUGAGUACAAAAUCCCAGAGUAAUAACUGAUUACUAAUAUAAAUAACUGAUUAUAAUCUAUGGUUAAAUAGAAAAAACUGAAUAUAAUUUGAAAAAUACUGAGGGUUAAAUGAUACCCCAGCAACCCCCAAAGAGAAUAGCAUCAUGACUAUACACAGUGACACAGAAGGCAGAAAUAACUUGAUGGCAAGCACUAUAACAGUGACCAGAAGAAAUGAAGGAAGAGAGAAAAAUUGAAAUCAGAAAUUAAAUGAAAGCCAGAAGGGAAAAAACAAAAGGAGGAUAAAUAGCUUUGGAGAAUUGAACCUUAUGAAAGUACUGGGCUUUGUAAAAAGUAGAAUGGUGGAAAAAAAUUAAAUGACUUUACAAGACUACAAGAAAUAUUAGACAAAAUAAAAAGCAGAAAAAAUAGAAGAAAAUGUAAGAU
This 1932-nucleotide long non-coding RNA is filed under the name Monodelphis domestica (gray short-tailed opossum). Its description in RNAcentral is "lncRNA (ENSMODG00000048514.1)". Lineage: Eukaryota; Metazoa; Chordata; Mammalia; Didelphimorphia; Didelphidae. The record is from RNAcentral.